This 301-nucleotide ribosomal RNA is filed under the name uncultured bacterium. RNAcentral's name for it is "partial 16S ribosomal RNA". It matches the Rfam family "Bacterial small subunit ribosomal RNA", at positions 509 to 807 of the family's 1533-position model. The record is from RNAcentral.
CAGUAGCCGCGGUAAAACGAAGGGUGCAAGCGUUACUCGGAAUUACUGGGCGUAAAGCGUGCGUAGGUGGUGGUUUAAGUCCGUUGUGAAAGCCCUGGGCUCAACCUGGGAAUUGCAGUGGAUACUGGGUCACUAGAGUGUGGUAGAGGAUAGUGGAAUUUCCGGUGUAGCAGUGAAAUGCGUAGAGAUCGGAAGGAACAUCUGUGGCGAAGGCGACUAUCUGGGCCAACACUGACACUGAGGCACGAAAGCGUGGGGAGCAAACAGGAUUAGAUACCCGAGUAGUCCCUGUCUCUUAUAC